Long non-coding RNA from Drosophila arizonae, 683 nucleotides. The record is from RefSeq and is a predicted model, not a curated record. Lineage: Eukaryota; Metazoa; Arthropoda; Insecta; Diptera; Drosophilidae.
UUCAUUUUUACUGUAAUCGGCCUCUGUUCCCCUUCCCUUACCGCUGCUCAUUGCCCGUUCUCCAGCUUCCCGCUCUGCCCACUCCCACUUUGUUUCCUUUUGCGCCUUUCACUUGUGCAUGUCACACACACAUACACCGAUGCAUAUUUUAUAAUAUUUAUUUACAUUGACGUUGACGUCGCCGUCGGCGUCUCAGUUGCCGUCGCAGCCGCGCCCGCCAUUUGUUUUGUUUACUACAGGCUUUUUCCCAGCCGUUGUUGUUGUUUUUAGUAGUGUUAUUAUUGUCUCCUGUGUUGUGUCUUGUCUUUUGCCUUCGUUUUCGUUCAACACAUACACACACACUCGCAUUUUGUUUUGUUCUCCGCUUCCUUGUCCUUGUCUCGCCUACCUACACACGCUCGAUAUGCGUGUGCGUAUCCAUGUGCGUGUGUGUGUGUGUGUGUGGGACCUGUUCUGCUAUUGUGGCUUUCUUUCAAGUUCCGCUUUGUCGCUUUGUUUUUGUUUUUGUUGAGUUUGUACUUACGUUUUAGGCUGGUCGCGACUGCGCGCUAAUUUAUUGCGUUCUCAAAAUCAACUGAGACACACACACACCUUCACACAUACACACAUAGAGGGACACCGACUCACACUGAUUGAUUAUUACUCCAUAUUCGAAGCGCUCUCUCACAGUCUUCCUCUUCUCU